Molecule: long non-coding RNA, 1717 nt
Organism: Microtus oregoni (creeping vole)
Lineage: Eukaryota; Metazoa; Chordata; Mammalia; Rodentia; Cricetidae
Exons: 5
Source: RefSeq, a predicted model, not a curated record
GUGAGUGUGAGUGUGAGAGCGAGAACAGCCCGCAGGUCCCGAGGCGCUUGCUGGGGACUCUGCCGCGGAAAGUUCCCAGUCCCCAGCCGCAGCUACUCUGGAAAACAGGAAGCGAGCUCAACCCAUCCCAAGCCCAAACCACCAAGAUAUGUGAAGUUCAUACAGCAGAAAUAAUGAGAUUUUCUGAUAAGAGAUAUGGAAUGAAAAAUAGUUCUGCCCGGCACUCAUUCCCAGAUCAUCCUUCUCACUGGACACUGACGACCUUGGAGACUGUGGGAGAUGCAGAAAAGGGUACUGAGGUCUUGCAAUUUUGGAAGUCUCCCUUGAAAUGAGACACAAAACUUAGAAGAUACUGGUUGGAAAGUCCUUGCCGUCCAUUUCUGCCACAGCUCUGACUGCCAUGGAUUGUAUUUUACAGGAGUUUCCAUUAAGGACUUGAUGAACCAGUUAUGCCAUUGGGCCUUGUAGAUACACUUGAACCACGAGGAUUCCAGAGCACACAACUUUCUGGAUCUAUGAAAUGGUGACCACCGAAAGUCUUUUUGUGCUUCUAAAACUGAACACUGGCACAUGCAUGAUUCAGAAGGGAAGAUUUUUUGUUCACAACAUGAGAUUCUGGACAGACCAUUGUCAAAGUACCCACAUAUAAUGAGGACAUUUACACUAUAUCUGAUGUUAGAAGGCUAAAUGGGAAGAAAAUGCAUGAAGGAUUAAGAGUGAGGGAAGUCAACUUCUCUUUAAAAUAACUCAACAAUUCCCACGACAAAAGCUCUGAGUACAGAAGUCUUUGCUCGAGUUUAACCAUCUCUCACAUGUGCCUCAUGUCAACAAUCCUUCAUUGGUGAUUAAUAUCCAACACCUGAUUGCCAAAGGCAUGUUCAUGGUGCCAGCUUUCACUAAUUUGUCCUACUCGUUCAAGGAAAUGUAUUCACAGAAUGCCUCAUGUAGAGUUGAUUUUUUCUCAUUUUUCAAUAUCUCUUACAUCUCUGUUGUGGGCUUUCUACAUCAUUGUGUCAUUUAUAUAUGAAUUAACAUUAUCAUUAUUUUGAAAAUUUUGAGUUUGUAUGUAGUCUUUCCAAAAUUCCAAAUUGACUGAAUUUUGGAACAACUUACUUUUUUAAAAUAGGCUAGUCGUCUUCAUUUUUACUUUUCUUUAUGUGUUUAGGCACAGAAACAUAAUUAAUUUGUAUUAUUUAAAGUGAAUUGGUGUUUGGAAUACACAUAUGAUGAACUAUCUAACUAAUUGCCAUCUAACUCAAUUAAUAGAUUUUUUCCAUAUGCAAUUGUAAUUUUAAUUUUAGUUUAUCAUUUUACAAUUAUAACAAAGAUGAUACUUUUUAAACUUUUUCUUUAAUAUCUUGUUAAAAAAUGUAAAUUAUCAAAUCUGCCUUCAUCUUAUGUUUUGAUUUCGUCCCCAUCCCCUACCUCACUAUUCUCUCUCAAAUUCUCAAGCUCUUUAUUUUAUUUUUUAAACCCAUUGAGUCCAGUUGGUGCUGUCAGUGUGUACAUGAGUGUGGAAUCAUCUGCUGGUGCACAAGGGUCUUGUGGACUUUCCUGUAUAUCACACCCCUUCUACUAAGGUUGAGGGAUCAAGGCUGGGCAUUGAAGAUGGAUUAUUGGAUGUUCUUUUUUGAGGUAUUGUCUCAUGGGUUUUUUUUUUCAUUCUUUUUUUUUAUUGAGAAAAGGAGAAAAAGAAAAAAAAAACAAGUUUCCACCU